AUUGAACGCUGGCGGCAUGCUUUACACAUGCAAGUCGAACGGCAGCGCGGGCUUCGGCCUGGCGGCGAGUGGCGAACGGGUGAGUAAUGCAUCGGAACGUGCCCAGUAGUGGGGGAUAGCCCAGCGAAAGCCGGAUUAAUACCGCAUACGACCUGAGAGUGAAAGCGGGGGACCGAAAGGCCUCGCGCUAUUGGAGCGGCCGAUGUCGGAUUAGCUAGUUGGUGGGGUAAAGGCUUACCAAGGCGACGAUCCGUAGCUGGUCUGAGAGGACGACCAGCCACACUGGGACUGAGACACGGCCCAGACUCCUACGGGAGGCAGCAGUGGGGAAUUUUGGACAAUGGGGGCAACCCUGAUCCAGCCAUGCCGCGUGCGGGAAGAAGGCCUUCGGGUUGUAAACCGCUUUUGUUCGGGAAGAAAUCCUCUGGGCUAAUACCCCGGGGGGAUGACGGUACCGGAAGAAUAAGCACCGGCUAACUACGUG
RNAcentral lists this ribosomal RNA (484 nucleotides) under uncultured bacterium. RNAcentral's name for it is "partial 16S ribosomal RNA". It matches the Rfam family "Bacterial small subunit ribosomal RNA", at positions 29 to 507 of the family's 1533-position model. The record is from RNAcentral.